GCACUGGAUUACAAAGGAUCACCCCAAGGGACUCAUCCUCCUUAGAACUACAGAAACCUUGCUUCAAGCUGGCAGCUACCCACAUCAAUGCUCUCUUCCUUGAUGGAUACUAUGAGUGAAUGCCUAGUGAGGAGGAGAAAAUGAGAAGGCAUACCAGGGAGACAAUGUGCUCCUUAACUAGACAGGAAAAGGUUUCUAAGAUUUCUUCCUCAAAGAAAUAGACAAUGAGAACCAAGGACAAUGAAGUCUGUGAUGGGGAUUCUUGGGCUCAAAAACUUCAGAUCUACCUGAGUACAGGGUAUAGAUUUUUUUCCUCCUCACUCACUGAAUAUGGAGUCUCCACACAGAGACUCCAGGCUCAGGCUCAGACUACCUGGCUUUAAAUCUUGGCUUUACUGUUAAUUUGCUGUUUGACUUUGAACAGGUCAUGUAAUCUCUCUGUGCUUCGGAUUCCUCAUGUGUAAAGUUGAAACAAUAAUAAUCUCAAUUUUAUAGGGUUAUUGUAUUAAAUAAAUGAAUACCUCCAUGUCACUUUGAAAUGCUUGGCACGUAGUGUUUAAUAAAUAUUAGCAAGUACUGUUACAUUAGCUAAGAAUUGACAUUUUACAAUCUCAUUUUUUUUCUUUCAAUGUGUUCCUCUGGAUAUGGGAAGAAAUGUACAUAGAUAAUUUUAGCCAGGUUUCAAAACAUGUGUAUGGUCAUUAGUUUUCCUAUUAGGGUACUGCAGGAUAGAAAUUUAAAGAGCUUGAUUUGGGAUGGUUUAAAUAUAUUCAUUUAAUAUUAGAGUUGGAAGAGACUCUAAUCUCUCGCCUCUCUCUCUAUCAUUCAGUCAGUCCCUCCACUAUUCCAAUGAGGACAUGAAAAAUGGACUUAAUCAGAGACUUUUGUCUUUAAGAACUUCAUAUAUAGUCUUAAACUUUAUGUAACAUAGAAUACACAUAUGGGUUUAUUAAAAUACUUAAUGUACAAAUUUUCAUUUGUAAAGUUUACCCUUGGUAGUUAAUCAGUCCCAUGAGUUUUGAAAAAAGCACACACAGCUGUGAAAGCACCACUACAACCAAGAAGAAAAUUUGCUGUUACCUCAGAAAUUUUCUGUUAUUCCUCCUUUGUGCAUUUGAAUUUGGAUAUACAUAUAAGCUUUUGACCCUCAGACAGAAUUAUACAUUUUUAGAAGAAGUGUAUGGAUGCAGUUAGAGAUAUAGAUAUGCAGAUACGUUAUAGAUACAUGCAUUUAGCAGAAUGGAGACUCAACUCCUUUGACCCAAUCCUCAGCUACUGUUGGAAAUGAAUCUGACAAGUAUCCAUGAGAACGCAGGCUUGAUCCCCGGCCUCACUCCUUGGGUUAAGGAUCUGGCAUUAUUAUGAGCUGUGGUGUAGGUCGCAGACGCGGCCUGAAUCCUGUGUUGCUGUGGCGUAGGCUGUCAGCUACAGCUUGGAUUCGACCCCUAGCCUGGGAACCUCCGUAUGCCACAGGUGUGGCCCUAAAAAGCAAAUAAAUAAAUAAAUAAAUAAAUAAACUUAGUCCCUCAGAAAGAGAAAUGGAUCUCAAUUUUUUUCAAGUUUUUCUAUAAAGUGUCUGAUUAGUUUGUAGUUGUUCAAAAGUGAUACAUGUUUGUUUUGUUUUGUUUUGUUUUGCUUUUUUUAAGGCUGUACCUGCAGCAUAUGGAGGUUGCCAGGCUAGGGGUUGAAUUGGAGCUGUAGCCGCCGGCCUACGCCACAGCCACAGCAACUCGGGAUCUGAACCACGUCUGCCACCUACACCACAGCUCACGGCAAUGCUGGAUCCUUAACCCACUGAGUGAGGCCAGGGAUCGAACCUACAACCUCAUGGUUCCUAGUCAGAUUUGUUUCCCCUGUGCCACGACGGGAACUCCUGUGAAUUUGUUUUUUUAAGAAAUUUGAUCUCUGAAUGGAACUGAGACUUUACAAGACAAAGUGAGGGUAGUAGAGUCCAGAGAUCAUGGGCUGAGAACCUAAAGGACCAUCUUCUUGUCCAGUGUCGUCAUUGCUGAGCCCUUCUAGGCCUCCCUAGACAUAGCUCAGAAUAAUCAGGGGGAGGACUUUUGAGUUCUUCACAGAAUGUGUUGUUGGUAAGAUUUAAAUGUUGGUGUAGAUUUCAAGAUACUAUUUUCAAUAUCUUUUCAAGCACCCCAGAGAUUUGCUUGGAGAAAUACAAUAGGGAACUGAUAUAUUAUAAUUUACCAUUCCAUUGAACAUCUUGAUAUCUUUCCAAAAUCAUUAACCUUAAAACCAUUUAAUUAGGUCCAUAAAAUAAACGGUUCCCAUUUUCUCUGAAUCUCUUAUGUAUCGAUCCUUCUGUAUUUAGUACCUACCAACAGUUCUACAAUAUUCCAAGUUGCCACUUUCCUACCUGCAGGAACAUCUUGAGAUCACUUUUCUCCAUCCAGACACACAGAACCUUCUUAGACUUCAAGGGUUGAUAAAUCAGAGACAAGCAUGACUUGUUCUCUUUGGUUUUUGUAUAUGCCUGAUAGUAUUUUUGAACAUUUGUCUGCAUUCUCUUUUUGGAAACCAGUAUCUAGUCUUCAGUAGCUCUGAUCCAUUAAGCUUCUUGAAGAUGUCUCUAGUUGGUAGAACAAAAAACUUGUUUUAUCGGCCUAUAGUAAGCUACCAAUGACAGAAGCAGCCAGUUUAUUAUCUUUUCUUCAUUAACAGAUGUCAGAGUAAUUGAUGAGGACUUUUUUUCAACCUCUGGUAUAAUUUUUAAAUGGAUUGAUUCUGGAGCAUUUCAGUUCAUUUACUAACAAUAUCUUAAGGAGUAGAAUGUGACUGUAAUCAAUUUUCAUUAUCAUUGUGUAGCUAAUAGGGCUAAAAAUAAGAACUCUUAAUUUUCUAUGGCAUGAUUAAUUAUCUAAGAAGAAUAUGGAAAUAACGUCUUUUAAUAUGCCUGGAGAGUUACAUUAGACCUUAAAAUUUUUCAUCCUCAAAACAUAUCACUUCCUGUAAUUUUCUAUUCACUAAUAAAACAACUCAGAUCUUACAGUAUUACCUUUCUCUGGCUCUUAAUUUCAAUAGGUGAUCUCCAGUUGCAACUUUCAUAUUCAGUGUUGCCCUACAUACAACCUCAUGGCCAGUGCUUUCUUUUUCAUACGUUCUCGCCAUCCUUGUUUCUUUUCUAAUAAUUCUUUGAAGCCAUGCUAGAUUUGGAAGACCUAAAGCAGCUUCUAGAGUCCUGACUCUGCUUAUACGCAUUCCCUCUAGACCAAAAGGAGGCCAUCUGGAGGAUGAGAUUUAUCAUGGAGUCCCCAAGAUGAUGUGGUAAAGACAGAAAUUUGGAGACCAUAAGGCCUCCUGACCAAAGUACUAGGCCAGGAAUAUGGAGCCAUGCACUCUAGUCCUAACUCUCUUCGGUCAUCUUGGCCAACUCUUACUCUUUGGUGCUUCAGCUUCCUUGUCUAUAAAAUGAAUAAUAAUGCCUAUUCUGUCUCACAGGGUUGUUUUCAAAUGAAAAUUUAGUUGCCCUUUAUUCCUGCCAAAUAGUUACUGACAUCUACACAUAUCUGGCCCUUCGGGAUAUGUUGAAGCAUUUAAUCCUCAUAGUACCUCUGUGGAAUACUUAAAGUGCUAUGACCUUUAACAGACAAGAGACUGAUGUUAGAAUUAAAUUGACUUAAGUAAGCAAGUCAUAGAGACAGGAUUUAAACUGAAGACUAUCUGAUUCUAGGGCACUUUCCUCAAUAGAGUAUUUCUCAAGUCUAAAGAGGUUUCUAUUUCCUGGCCUGGUCUGUUUAAAAGACGUGAUGUACCCAAAGGCAGAGCUAAAGGAACAAGAAUUGGAGAAAGUCCCAAAAUGGGUAAAUUGAUGGCUUUCUCCCUCUUUAGAAAUCGAUGUUUCUUAUGGCCUUCAAACUGUCCGGGAAACUUCCAUUAUGGGAAAGGGUGGCUCUCAAUAGAACACUUUUGUCAUUCUCCCCUUUGAUUUUAAAUCACUGCUAUACAAAGAGAAUUUCUUACCACUUCAUUAACCAGCCUCAAUCAUUUUUAACUCUACUAAGGGCAGGAAACUCUAAGCCAGGGAAGGGGUGGGGGUCCCAACCUGAAGACAUAUAUGCAGCUAUGAUAAGAAGUCCAUUUGGGCACUAAAAUGAUAAAAUGCCUCAUCCCUCUAGAUACUAUUUUAAAAAAAUAUAUAGAAGCAAUAGUGGAGAACAAAAGGAAAAUUCAUUUAAGAACAUCACUAAAUUCACAAGGCAGUAGAAGCUCUCUUAAUUAACCUCCAUUUUACCAACCUACUGUACUAACUGCUCCCUCUGUAAAGUAUCCUGAUUGAUGCUCACAGCAGCCUGAACACUUGAGGUCAACAGGCUAUUCCCUAGCAUCCUGCAUUUUUCUGCUGCCAUCAGUGAAGAUGUUAGCUUCCCAAGUGUCCCUUGUUGUAUUCUUUCUCAAAGAUGUUUAUGGUAAUCACAAAAUUCAGUUACAAUGCAAGAAGAGAGCUGUUGUUUCUAUGAAAAUUCAGUUGAAUGCUUUGGAAAGAUUCAAUAAAGGCAAGUCACUAAAAAAGAAAUUGCUGCAGAAUGAUUUAGGGCCACUGAGAAAGGCUCUCUGGGUUGUCACUGCACAGUUCUGAGGAACACUCUGGAUGAUGCCCCCUUGAGUUUUAUAGGGUAAAACUUCAAGGCAGUGCACCGAGCCAUUGCAUUGGGAGUAAAAUGACUGUAAAAGUUUGGAAAGAAAAGCACUAGUAUCUUCAAGAAGUCUCUAUUCAAAAUUCUCUGGAAAUCUUCUUACAUUCUUAUUCUCCUUUAUAUAAACCCAAAAGGGAAAUUAUAGUCAGUGCAUUACAGAUAUGGUGAAUGUAAAAAAAAGAGACUCCCAGAGAAGACCCAAGACCUUGGCUUUGACCCUACAUCAAGAUUGGUAUAUGAAUAUAUAUACAUGUUUUCUAGUUAAAAUAGAAUGUUUAACGUAUCCUAUUUUACAAUUCUCUGACUUAACUGGCUUUUUUGAUUAACACAUGAACUACUAAUCCUUGGGGACUCUGGCCUUUGCUUGCUUUAUGUAUUUUCAACCAGCCGAUAUUCCAUGUAUACUCCAAGUAUAGCCAUGAUCUUGUCAUGAAGAGUGGUCUCUGGAAAGUUUUGAAGUUUGUUUUGGAGGCACUUAGCUAUUUCUUAACAGCACAGGGCUAGGUAAUACUGUUAUUGUCAGAUAGUGGACCUAGAUUCCUACAAACAUUCUUAUCAGUUUCUGCGAAUGCCACACUCUCCCUAAACAGCCCACACCACUGUUGUUUCAAGAGCUCCAAGUCACUAGCAGACUCUGCAUUCUCCAUAAUUACACCCAAUUUUCCAAUUGAAUUAUCACAUGAUUUAAUUCGUUGGCUGCAUCUGGAGAGCAUCAGCAUUGUGCAGCUGUUGCAGCUUCAAGAGCUAAUUGUUGCUAAGCACAUUAAAAGUAGCCCUAUUGCAGUGCACUGGAGUCAGAAAGGGAGGGGUACAAACUUUCAUUUCCCAUUUUCUCUUUGGUUGAAUCAUCACCCAAAGAGCCUGAGGGGUAGAAAACAUUUUAGCCCUGUUAACAUGGAGACCUCACCGAGUAUGGUUACUGUCACUGGAUGAAAGCUCUUAAGUGAGUCAGACAUAUCCAGAUACCAAAUACACAGGGACCUGAGUCAUGACAAAUAAGAUUAGGAUAGAAAUUAAGGGCUCUGUUAAAGGGGAGGCAGUGCAUCAUUGAAAAAGGAAGCCAAUUGUUGGUGAGGCACCAGGAUAUCUGAAGACCCCCAAAUCUUAGUUCCAAUAAGAAGUUACCGUAGGAGUUCCCACUGUGGCUCAGCGGUAAGGUGUCCAACUAGUAUCCAUGAGGACGUGGGUUCUAUCCCUGGCCCCACUCAGUGUUAGAGAUCUGGUGUUGCUGUGGCUGUGGUUUAGGCCAGUAUCUGCACCUCUGAUUCAACCCUUGGCCUUGGAAUUUCCAUAUGCCAUGGGUGUGGCCCU
Molecule: long non-coding RNA, 5960 nt
Filed under: Sus scrofa (pig)
Lineage: Eukaryota; Metazoa; Chordata; Mammalia; Artiodactyla; Suidae
Description: lncRNA (ENSSSCG00055004135.1)
Source: RNAcentral